Molecule: non-coding RNA, 399 nt
Organism: Pelobates cultripes (western spadefoot toad)
Lineage: Eukaryota; Metazoa; Chordata; Amphibia; Anura; Pelobatidae
Source: the annotation of a GenBank genome assembly
GGGCAAGGCGGAGCACCAGAUGGAGCCUCUGUGGUGCUCCCGCACACACAGGAGUAGUGAGUAGCCCGGCCUCUAGGUAUGGGGGUCCCUGGAGAGCCAUGUCCCCGCUGCUGUGAGCCCUGUGGGGCAGGAGUGCGCUACCCUUCCGGCGGACCGGUGGCUGUGGAGGCCGCGCACUGGCCCCAAGAGUGAGGCCGGCACCGGGAGAGACAUGGGAGUGCGCGCUGCAGAGGGAACAGCGGGGUGCUGGGGAGGUGCAAGGGGCUGGCUGCCCGCGGACUUUGGUGGUGGGGUCUGGUGGACGGUUUCGGCCCCCGAGUGCCUACGGCGCCGCGAUGGACCCGGCCGGUGGGCUGGGGGCACUGCGGAGGUGACGGAAGGAGGCUCGGCAUCCCUGGG